Molecule: unclassified non-coding RNA, 348 nt
Filed under: soil metagenome
Description: partial contains 5.8S ribosomal RNA, internal transcribed spacer 2, and large subunit ribosomal RNA
Rfam family: 5.8S ribosomal RNA (bases 1-120)
Source: RNAcentral
GAUGAAGAACGAAGCGAAAUGCGAUAAGUAAUGUGAAUUGCAGAAUUCAGUGAAUCAUCGAAUCUUUGAACGCACAUUGCGCCCGCCAGUAUUCUGGCGGGCAUGCCUGUCUGAGCGUCAUUUCAACCCUCAUGCCCCUAGGGCGUGGUGUUGGGGAUCGGCCAAAGCCCGCGAGGGACGGCCGGCCCCUAAAUCUAGUGGCGGACCCGUCGUGGCCUCCUCUGCGAAGUAGUGAUAUUCCGCAUCGGAGAGCGACGAGCCCCUGCCGUUAAACCCCCAACUUUCCAAGGUUGACCUCAGAUCAGGUAGGAAUACCCGCUGAACUUAAGCAUAUCAAUAAGCGGAGGA